RNAcentral lists this ribosomal RNA (253 nucleotides) under uncultured bacterium. RNAcentral describes it as "partial 16S ribosomal RNA". It matches the Rfam family "Bacterial small subunit ribosomal RNA", at positions 524 to 776 of the family's 1533-position model. The record is from RNAcentral.
GACAGCGGGGGCAAGCGUUGCUCGGAAUUACUGGGCGUAAAGGGCGCGUAGGCGGGAUGGCAAGUCGGUCGUGAAAUCCCUCGGCUCAACCGAGGAACGUCGAUCGAUACUGCUGUUCUUGAGGAUUGCAGAGGAGACUGGAAUUCCCGGUGUAGCGGUGAAAUGUGUAGAGAUCGGGAGGAACACCGGUGGCGAAGGCGGGUCUCUGGGCAAUUCCUGACGCUGAGAAGCGAAAGCAUGGGGAGCGAACAGG